This 72-nucleotide transfer RNA is filed under the name Sus scrofa (pig). It matches the Rfam family "tRNA". Rfam says of the family: Transfer RNA (tRNA) molecules are approximately 80 nucleotides in length. Their secondary structure includes four short double-helical elements and three loops (D, anti-codon, and T loops). Lineage: Eukaryota; Metazoa; Chordata; Mammalia; Artiodactyla; Suidae. The record is from Rfam by way of RNAcentral.
UCCCUGGUGGCCUAGUGGUUAGGAUACAGCACUUUCACUGCUGCGGUCCAGGUUCAGUCUCUGGUCUGGGUG